Molecule: ribosomal RNA, 518 nt
Filed under: uncultured bacterium
Lineage: Bacteria
Description: bacterial SSU rRNA
Rfam family: Bacterial small subunit ribosomal RNA
Source: RNAcentral
AGACUUAGCAGAGAUGCUUUGGUGCCUUCGGGAACUCUGAGACAGGUGCUGCAUGGCUGUCGUCAGCUCGUGUUGUGAAAUUGUUGGGUUAAGUCCCGCAACGAGCGCAACCCUUAUCCUUUUGUUGCCAGCGGUCCGGCCGGGAACUCAAAGGAGACUGCCAGUGAUAAACUGGAGGAAGGUGGGGAUGACGUCAAGUCAUCAUGGCCCUUACGAGUAGGGCUACACACGUGCUACAAUGGCGCAUACAAAGAGAAGCGACCUCGCGAGAGCAAGCGGACCUCAUAAAGUGCGUCGUAGUCCGGAUUGGAGUCUGCAACUCGACUCCAUGAAGUCGGAAUCGCUAGUAAUCGUGGAUCAGAAUGCCACGGUGAAUACGUUCCCGGGCCUUGUACACACCGCCCGUCACACCAUGGGAGUGGGUUGCAAAAGAAGUAGGUAGCUUAACCUUCGGGAGGGCGCUUACCACUUUGUGAUUCAUGACUGGGGUGAAGUCGUAACAAGGUAAGCGUAGUGCU